Molecule: non-coding RNA, 148 nt
Filed under: Nomascus leucogenys (northern white-cheeked gibbon)
Lineage: Eukaryota; Metazoa; Chordata; Mammalia; Primates; Hylobatidae
Source: Rfam by way of RNAcentral
GCUGGGCAUGGUGACGCGCGCCUGUAAUCCCAGCUACUUGGGAGGCUGAGGCAGGAGAAUUGCUUGAACCUGGGAGGUGGAGGCUGCAGUGAGCCGAGAUCACAUCACUGCACUCUAGCCUGGGUGACAAAGCAAGACUCUGUCUCAA